GCUGGAUGCGGUGGUGCACACCUGUAAUCCCAGUGGCUUGGGAGGCUGAGGCAGGAGGAUCAUGAGUUCAAAGCCAGCCUUAGCAAAAGCAAGGCACUAAGCAACUCACUGAGACCCUGUCUCUA
This 125-nucleotide small RNA is filed under the name Marmota monax (woodchuck). The record is from RNAcentral. Lineage: Eukaryota; Metazoa; Chordata; Mammalia; Rodentia; Sciuridae.